UUCCCAGUUCCCCCCCUCAGUUCCCUGUGCCCCGAGUUCUGCUGCCUGCCUGCUUCACACAGCAUGGCCACACAGAGAAAUCGUGCACACGUGGAGCCCAGUGCAAGACUCAAGGAAGGAAGCCAUGUGUGGUGGCCAUCCCAGGCAGGACUCAGAAGGUAGAGGCAGGAAGAGUCAAGGCCAUCCUUGGCUACUUGGUAAGUUCAAGGCCAGCCUGGGCUACAUGAGACCCCAUCUCCACAACAAACACCUAAGGAAGUAAGAGUGGAUUAUUAAGGGACAUAAAAGAUCCCUUGAGAAACUGUAUCUCUAAGCAAGAAGCUGGGACACCUGCAGCCAGUCAUACCCAAUCUGAGAGCCAAGACCAGCUGCAGACCAGCUGCAGUGGGCAGACACCCCUCAGGCCACAUUCCAACAUACUCAGAGGGCACAACCUACUGGUAUUGGGUAUUCUUUCUGUUUUUCCUUUAUCCUUUUUUUUUUUUUUUUUUUUUUUUUUAAAGAUUUAUUUAUUGAUUAUUGUAAGUACACUGUAGCUGUCUUCAGACACUCCAGAAGAGGGAGUCAGAUCUCAUUACGGAUGGUUGUGAGCCACCAUGUGGUUGCUGGGAUUUGAACUCUGGACCUUCGGAAGAGCAGUCGGGUGCUCUUACCCACUGAGCCAUCUCGCCAGCCCCUUUUUUUUUUUUUAAGACUAGUCUUUCAAAAGUUAUUUUAAGUGUUAUGAGUGUCUUGCCCAUGUGCCUGCCACUGGAUGCCAGAAGAGGGUGUCAGAUUCUCUGCAAGUGGGGUAAGAUGGUUAUAAGCCACCAGAUGGAUGCUGGGUACUGAACCUGUGUCUUCUGCAAGAACAGCACGUGGUCCUAACUGCUCAGCCAUCUCUCCAGCCCUGUCUUUUAUUCUUUUUAUGCUAGAAAUCUAUGGCCCAGGACUGCAGAGGAAAGGCGGAAGAGUGCUUCAACCCUGGAUACCUCAGAUGAGGAUAGCAGGAGUUAGUUACACACACACACACACACACACACACACACACACACACACACGCUUCCAACCUGACACCAUGAAGCCAGCUGUCCCACCAUCAACCCUAGUAGGAAUUUAGUACUUUUGUUUGACCCUAUAAGGCUCCCUCCUCCCCUGAGUCUUCCAACACUCCUUCCCUGGCCAAUGAUAAUUGGCAGUCACACCAACCUUGUCCCAGUAACCCUGGCACCUCCCGGGGGCAUAAAUACCCCUCUCCCCACACCAAUAAACCCAAAGCUGUUCCUGUGUUGUGUGUGUGUCCCUUGCCCUUGAACUCACCACUGACCCAAAAAUUCUACCUGCACUCACUCGCCCCAGCUAAUCUCUCCCUCCAGUCCAGGCGGGUGAGUGAGGGGCCUGACACUCCCAGAGUGGGAGAAGCAGAUAUGGGACGGGACGGCAGAGAUCCAAUUAGCACCUUACAAAGGCCACACACAAGCUCUACCGUUGAGUGGCACACCUGGCUGCCUUACACAUCCCUUCUCUUUUUUCUGCAUCUUUCAUUUAUUCUUUGACAACUGCGUCUGUGUAUACAACACAUUUUGAUCUUAUCCACUUCGACUCUUCCCUCCUGAUGUCCCUCAACAUGUCCCCCUCCCGCUCUUGUGACUUCGUCUUUGGCAACCCACCGAGUUUACCUAGUAUUGCUGGCUGGAACAUUAGCUGGCCUUCUUGGCUUGGUUGUCUAGGCUUUGUGCAGUCACGGGAGCUGUCCAUACAUGCGAUUCUCUGUACUAUGCAGAAGACAGUAUUUCCCAGGACUCCCAUUCUGCAGAUCUUGUGUUCUUUUUGGUCCCUCUUCCCUAUUUCCUGACCUUGGCUGCUGAUACAGACGUCCUACUUAGGGCCAGGCUCUCAACAGUCACCUAUUCCCAGUGCUUUGACAGUUGCGAGCCUGUCUGUAUUGCUGCCCACAGCAGAAAGAGUCUGGCUAAGGCUGAAAGCAGCAGUAACCUGUGAUAGAGGCAUAAAGUUCAGCAAGUCCAUCUAGCGGGACAGCAGUAGGCUCUCCCCGGGUCCUGUGACCUCCUAAGCCACAGGAUUCUGACAGGGUUACAGUCCCAGGGAUGACUUUUCUCGUGGGGAGCACACCUCAGAUCCAAUCAGAGAAGGAUUGGUUGCCCCUGGAACCUUCACACAACUGUUGCACCAGAGGACACUUGUUGCCUGAAGUUGGUUAUUGGAGCACAAAAGGGACCAGCCACCAUGCUGGCUUACUGUGCUGGGUAAGCCACCAAUGGCUUGCGGCGGCCAGCCAAGGACAUCGGAUCCCAUAGAACUGGAGUUACAGUUAUGAGGCAUCAAGUGGGUGUUGGGAAUUGAACCCAGUCCUCUGAAAGAGCAGCCAGUGUUCUUAACUACUGAGCCAGAGUGGAUGCCUGAGUGUCAUUAUUCUCACAAAUUCAAGUUGUAUAUAAUCACACAGACAAGCCCCACGUGGCCCAAAGGUCUCCCAUGGAGGCAUAUACACCAAUAGCCCCGGCCAUCUUAGUGAAUAAUCUGAAGUAAACUCACUCCCGUUCUCUACACCUGGGAGGGGCAGCUAGCGCAGCCCAAGACCAACGCUAUGGUUUUGAAGAAGCCGAGAUCACAAGACUCUUGCUUUCUCACAAGCGCUCAGAAUUGCCAUCAUGUGACUCCAUUCUUGGCCAGUGUUCUGACACUUGCCUCCGUCUCCGGAGGGUUUAUGUAGAACAGCGAAAACCAAAUACUCUGUGGGUCCCUUAGUUUUGUCUGGAUGCUUCUGUAUUGCUCAGCGUGUUUAAUUGCAAUCGACUAGAAUUACCAGGCGUGUCUAGUUCCAGGACAGCUAGGCUUUCUUGAAUUUUCCAUGUGGCCCACACAGGACGUUCAUAUACAUUUCUUCUAAGAUUAGCAGGCAAAAUGUCUCCAGUUGAAGCCAGUUCUCAGUGAGGGGAAGCAUUGAAACUUCUCAGCUAUGCCAAACUUGUGUUCAAGGUAAAGGUCAGAGAGUAGAUUGUAUUGUCAGACCUGGAUGGUUUGAUCUUGUUUGGUGGUUUCUUUGUAUUUGAGAAAGGGUCCUGCCCGUAAUUCAGGCGGUAGGGCAGGGGGAACUCAUUAUGUAGACUAGGCUGGUCUUGAACUCAGAGAGCUAUUCCUGACUAUGGUUCCUGAGUGCUGGGAUUAAUAACACACCCCCAUCAGACUUCAAUUGAAAAUCCAAUUCCUGAGGCUGGUGAAUUGGCUCAACAGGUAAAGGCACUUGCUGCUGAGUCUGACAGCCUGGACCCACAUUUUGGAAGAAGUGAACAGUCCCCUAGAAGCUGUCCUCUAACCACACGUGUGCACAUGCACACAAACACACACGGUAACAUAAAUUAAAAAUAAAUAGAAUGCGUUUCUGCACGGUGUGUUAUUCUGCACGGUGUGGUAGCAGGCCUGCAAUCCCAGCAACUGGGAGGCUGAGGCAGGAGCAUGUAUCAUCAUGAGUUUUAGGUUAACUUGUGCUACAUAGUAGAUGCUGUCUUAAAACAAACCACCAAAAUGGCACAUGCCUGUGGUCCCAGUACUGGGGAAGUAGAAACAGGAAGGGCAGGGGUUCCCAGUCAUCUCCAGUUACUUAGUUAAGAUCCUGUGUGAAACCAACAAAACAACUAAACAAAAAACAGAAAAUAUAAAUAAGGGCUGGAGACUGGCUCAGUGGCUCUUGCAGAGGACCUGCCUUCAUUCUCUGCAGCCACACGGUGGCUUACAACCAUCUGUAGGUAACUCCAGUCCCAAGAGGUACAGCAUCCUCUUCUGGCCUCCUUGGGUACCUGGGAACAUGUGGCAUGUGCACACACACACAAAGAAAAAAAAAUAUUUUUUUUAUUUUCUUUUUUUUGUUUUUUCGUGACAAGGUUUCUCUGUGUAGCCCUGGCUGUCUUGGAGCUCACUCUGUAGACCAGGCUGGCCUCGAACUCACAGACCCACCCACUUCUACCUCCAGAGUGUGCCACCAUACCCUGCUGGGGUUGUUUUUAAUCUGGAAUCUACAGAAAGUGUUUGGGGCUGGAGAGAUGGCUCAGCAUUAAGAGCACAUGUUACAGGGGCUGGAGAGAUGGCUCAGUGGUUAUAAAGCACUGACUGCUCUUCCAGGGGUCCUGAAUUCAAUUCCCAGCAACCACAUGGUGGCUCACAACCAUCUGUAAUGGGAUCUGAUGCCCUCUUCUGAUGGGUCUGAAGACAGGGACAGUGUACUCAUAUAAAUAAAAUAAAUAUUAAAGAAAAAAAGCACAGGGCACUCUAGUGCAGGACUUGGCUUUGCUUCCUAGCACCCGCAUCAGGCAACCUACAGGUGCCUGUAACUGCCGCUUCAGGACCCAAUGUCUUCCUACUUCCAAUUGUGCUUCAUUAUGCUCAAACCCUCACACAAGGCACACGUAUUCACAAUUAAAACAAAACAAACCUCAAAGAAAAAAAAAAAAAAAGAAACC
Molecule: long non-coding RNA, 4457 nt
Organism: Mus musculus (house mouse)
Lineage: Eukaryota; Metazoa; Chordata; Mammalia; Rodentia; Muridae
Product: predicted gene, 53768
Exons: 2
Source: RefSeq, a predicted model, not a curated record